AGUGAACGCUGGCGGUAGGCCUAACACAUGCAGGUCGAACGGCAGCACAGGAGAGCUUGCUCUCUGGGUGGCGAGUGGCGGACGGGUGAGGAAUACAUCGGAAUCUACUCUGUCGUGGGGGAUAACGUAGGGAAACUUACGCUAAUACCGCAUACGACCUACGGGUGAAAGCAGGGGACCUUCGGGCCUUGCGCGAUUGAAUGAGCCGAUGUCGGAUUAGCUAGUUGGCGGGGUAAAGGCCCACCAAGGCGACGAUCCGUAGCUGGUCUGAGAGGAUGAUAAGCCACAGGGGAACAGGGAAGCGGUCCAGACUCCUACGGGAGGCAGAAGUGGGAAAUAUUGGAAAAGGGGCGCAAGCCUGAUCCAGCCAUACCGCGUGGGUGAAGAAGGCCUUCGGGUUGAAAGGCCCUUUUGUUGGGAAAAAAAUCCAGCUGGCUAAUACCCGGUGGGGAUGACGGUACCCAAAGAAUAAGCACCGGCUAACUUCGUGCCAGCCGCCGCCGUAA
RNAcentral lists this ribosomal RNA (506 nucleotides) under uncultured bacterium. RNAcentral's name for it is "partial 16S ribosomal RNA". It matches the Rfam family "Bacterial small subunit ribosomal RNA", at positions 29 to 523 of the family's 1533-position model. The record is from RNAcentral.